Pelobates fuscus (common spadefoot toad) is the source of this 428-nucleotide long non-coding RNA. RefSeq lists it as uncharacterized. The record is from RefSeq and is a predicted model, not a curated record. Lineage: Eukaryota; Metazoa; Chordata; Amphibia; Anura; Pelobatidae. The transcript is spliced from 3 exons.
GUUGUAUAUAGCACAAACAGGAUUUAUCUGAUGUGCUCUGGUAUACAAUGUAGGAGAAAGAAGCUGGGAAGGAGUUGUUCUUUUGAGCUUGUCUCCUACCUGGCAUCCAUUCCUGUUACUGGUGACAUCUGCGGACUUCUAUGAAAGAAUUGAAGGUGAAGAUUAUAUCACCUAUGUCUGGAACAUAGAGCCGUCUGUCUACUCAUUAAAUUGUAGGGCUGGAAUUCCCCGGAGAAAGACUGGGCACCUGCCUACAGACACAUGCCCGCUUGAGGAUGCCACCCUGCCUAUUACAAGUCCCUCCUCACCUCUUGCAUGGUGCCUGCUGCUGUCUAACUGGAUCAGAGGCUGCUGGACUUAGGAAUCACAAUAUUCAGUCUGAUCUCACAUAUAUCAUUAGGUUUUGUCAUUAAUUUGAUGGUUUUCAU